This 84-nucleotide transfer RNA is filed under the name Cyrtodactylus saiyok. Its description in RNAcentral is "tRNA-Cys". Lineage: Eukaryota; Metazoa; Chordata; Lepidosauria; Squamata; Gekkonidae. The record is from RNAcentral.
UCCCGCAGGCACCAAGCUGCAAACUUGGUAACGCACCCUAAGAGGUGCCGGGGCUUCUCCCGUUUUAAGAGAGACGGGAGAAGA